This is a long non-coding RNA of Mauremys reevesii (Reeves's turtle), 803 nucleotides long. RefSeq lists it as uncharacterized. The record is from RefSeq and is a predicted model, not a curated record. The transcript has 2 exons. Lineage: Eukaryota; Metazoa; Chordata; Testudines; Geoemydidae.
GAGGCCUGAUAGGAGUCUGGUGGAAUGAGAAAGCUAUUGCAGCAGGCUUAGCUCCUGUAAUGGGUCUCAACAUGGAAGCAAGGCUCUAGUGAAGGCAGCCCUGGGAGUCAGCAUUUAACUAAGGAAUGGAGCAUAGGAGAAACUUAAGAGGGAUGAAUGUUCAAGUAUGAGGGGGAGGCAGAAGUGACUUAAAUAUAUAUUUCCACUUUGUGUUUGUUAGGGGGAGCUUCAGGAGAGACCCCUGUGAGCCCCUGCUCUGGAAGAAGGGUGAACCUUGAGAGAUUGGUGCCUAGGAAGACAGAGAGGUAAUGGAGCAGCACAAGAAUAUAGGUACAUAGUGGGCCCAUGAAGAGGCUGUGGGGAAGAUCUGCAGACAGGCUGAGAUAGGAAGAAACCCAGGCAAAAAGUUGGAGAGGGAGGGGGGAUGGUUUCUGAAUAGACAGACCUUGUUUGCUUACUACGGAGUUCCUGGGUUGAAACCCAGAGGAGAGGGAGGAAUUAGGUUUUCCUACAGACCCCCUGAGAUAGGUGGUGUGACUAGAGGUAGAAGGAUUAGUGAGUCUGUGAGGCCAUUUAACUUUUGUUUGUUGACUCUCUGGUACCCCAGAAGGGGUAAGACUAUAAAGUGACUUGGCUGGAGGGCUGAGUCAGGAGAAGAAGCAGUCCAUUGCACAGCUGGAGUGGCUAUUAACAGGGACCAUCAGAGAUAAGACUUACUUGCUAUGCUGUGCCUUGCCAUGAGGGAGCGCACCAGUGGGCCGGCUCCAGCUGUUUUGCCGCCUCAAGCAGCAAAGGAAAAAAAA